This is a long non-coding RNA of Syngnathoides biaculeatus (alligator pipefish), 892 nucleotides long. RefSeq lists it as uncharacterized. The transcript has 3 exons. NCBI's taxonomy places the organism in Eukaryota, Metazoa, Chordata, Actinopteri, Syngnathiformes, Syngnathidae. The record is from RefSeq and is a predicted model, not a curated record.
UUGAUUUCACACAUUUCUGUAGACAAGUUUAAUAACUGCGGACUGACUGAGGAAGCUGCUCCAAUAGCCUUGACAGCAGCCUGGAAGACUUUUCUCGGCAGUCGGAGAACCCAUGCAACUGGAGGCCCUCGGCGGUCCAGCGGAGGAGCGCCUCCAUUGUCGGCAAGAGGGGCGUUGUUUUUACUGUCUACGUUUGGGACAUUUAAUCACCCAGUGCCCAGUCCGACCGAAGCGCACCGGCCUCAGGAUCUCCACUCCGGUGAGUGUCCGGUAUACCGCGGCAGAAUCAACUCCUUCACUCCUUCAACUCAGCACAUUCAUGUACUGUAUCAGCAUUUAUCGACUCGGGGUCGGAUGCUAAUUUGAUCACACACACCCCCCCCCCUCCCCGAGUGGUCGAGGCAUUGAGCGCCUAUAGAAGUGGAGGGGCUAGGUACCGCUCCGGAAUUAGCUGAAGUACCUGCUUGUUAUCAUGAUCUGAAGGUUUUUUUGGACAGUAAAGCAAAAUCCCUGCCGCCACACCGCUCAUAUGAUUGCGCCAUCGAACUUCUUCACGCCACCUCGCGCCCGUGAGGGAGGUUGUUUGCUUUACAGGACCAAAACACCAGGCCAUGAGAAGUUACGUCAAGAACUCACUGGCAGCUGGCCUCAUCCGCUCGUCGUCCUCGACAGCCAGUGCAGGGUUCUUCUUUGUGAAGGAGAAGGACACUUCGCUACGACCCUGCAUCGACUACCGGGGACUGAACGACAUCACCAUUAAGAACAGAUCUAACCUCCCACGUCCGGCAAGUAAGAGAGGUCCUUCAGCGUCUACUCCAGCAUCAGUUGUUCGUAAACAAAGACAAGUGUGAAUUCCACCGAGCCUCCGUGUCCUUCCUGGCGGAGGGGGAGA